CCUACGGGUGGCAGCAGUAGGGAAUAUUGCUCAAUGGGGGAAACUCUGAUGCAGCAACGCCGCGUGAAGGAUGCAGGUUUUCGGAUUGUAAACCCCUUUUGGUAGAGAAGAUAAUGACGGUACCUGACGAAUAAGCAACGGCUAACUCCGUGCCAGCAGCCGUGGUAAUACGGAGGGUGCAAGCGUUACUCGGAUUAACUGGGCGUAAAGGGCGCGUAUGCGGGAUAGCAAGUCAGAAGUGAAAUCCUAUGGCUUAACCAUAGAACUGCAUUUGAAACUGCUAGGCUAGAGUGUGGGAGAGGUAGGCGGAAUUCUUGGUGUAGCGGUGAAAUGCGUAGAGAUUAAGAGGAAUACUCAUGGCGAAGGCGACUUGCUAGACCGUAACUGACGUUGAUGCGCGAAAGCGUGGGGAGCAAACAGGAUUAGAUACCCCAGUAGUC
Molecule: ribosomal RNA, 440 nt
Filed under: uncultured bacterium
Lineage: Bacteria
Description: partial 16S ribosomal RNA
Rfam family: Bacterial small subunit ribosomal RNA
Source: RNAcentral